RNAcentral lists this ribosomal RNA (599 nucleotides) under uncultured soil bacterium. RNAcentral describes it as "bacterial SSU rRNA". It matches the Rfam family "Bacterial small subunit ribosomal RNA", at positions 55 to 663 of the family's 1533-position model. The record is from RNAcentral.
AUGCAAGUCGAACGAGGUCCAUCCAGUGGCAACACUGGUGAAGAUCUAGUGGCGAACGGGUGCGUAACACGUGAGGAACCUACCCCGAUCUCAGGAAUAACAGUGGGAAACCACUGCUAAUACCGGAUGCCUUCCCCGAGUCGCAUGGCUCGGCGAAGAAAGGGUUACCGGAUCGGGACGGCCUCGCGGCCUAUCAGCUUGUUGGCGGGGUAAUGGCCCACCAAGGCGUCGACGGGUAGCUGGUCUGAGAGGAUGAUCAGCCACACUGGGACUGAGACACGGCCCAGACUCCUACGGGAGGCAGCAGUGGGGAAUCUUGCGCAAUGGGCGAAAGCCUGACGCAGCAACGCCGCGUGGGGGAUGAAGGCCCUCGGGUUGUAAACCCCUUUCAGCAGGAACGAAUCUGACGGUACCUGCAGAAGAAGGCCCGGCCAACUACGUGCCAGCAGCCGCGGUAAUACGUAGGGGCCAAGCGUUGUCCGGAUUUAUUGGGCGUAAAGAGCUCGUAGGCGGUUGGGUAAGUCGGGUGUGAAAACUCCAGGCUCAACUUGGAGAGGCCACCCGAUACUGCUCUGACUUGAGUUCGGUAGGGGAGUGGG